RNAcentral lists this long non-coding RNA (200 nucleotides) under Panax ginseng (ginseng). RNAcentral's name for it is "long non-coding RNA (PGIN_LNC004179)". The record is from RNAcentral. Lineage: Eukaryota; Viridiplantae; Streptophyta; Magnoliopsida; Apiales; Araliaceae.
UGAUUUGGGUUGGUACAUAGGUGAUCCAUAACAUCUAGGUACUCGAAAUAAGAGUUUUCAAAAAUCUGAGAAAUGUUGAAUAUGUUGUCUGACAAUGAAUGUCAGACAUCCUAGAUCUUAGUAUGUUUACUGUUUUGUGUUUUAAAUGUUUCAUCGUGUUAUAUGAUAUGAGAUCUGUGUUCUAGAACUUGUAGAAGGAC